Molecule: ribosomal RNA, 253 nt
Filed under: uncultured bacterium
Lineage: Bacteria
Description: partial 16S ribosomal RNA
Rfam family: Bacterial small subunit ribosomal RNA
Source: RNAcentral
GACGUAGGGCGCGAGCGUUGUCCGGAUUUAUUGGGCGUAGAGAGCUCGUAGGCGGCUUGUCGCGUCGACUGUGAAAUCCCGCGGCUCAACUGCGGGUCUGCAGUCGAUACGGGCAGGCUAGAGUUCGGUAGGGGAGACUGGAAUUCCUGGUGUAGCGGUGAAAUGCGCAGAUAUCAGGAGGAACACCGAUGGCGAAGGCAGGUCUCUGGGCCGAUACUGACGCUGAGGAGCGAAAGCGUGGGGAGCGAACAGG